Molecule: ribosomal RNA, 206 nt
Filed under: Pseudomonas aeruginosa
Lineage: Bacteria; Pseudomonadati; Pseudomonadota; Gammaproteobacteria; Pseudomonadales; Pseudomonadaceae
Description: partial 16S ribosomal RNA
Rfam family: Bacterial small subunit ribosomal RNA (bases 41-206)
Source: RNAcentral
UGAGCCAAGUUUAGGGUUUUCUCAAAACCCAAGCAGUAUUGAACUGAAGAGUUUGAUCAUGGCUCAGAUUGAACGCUGGCGGCAGGCCUAACACAUGCAAGUCGAGCGGAUGAAGGGAGCUUGCUCCUGGAUUCAGCGGCGGACGGGUGAGUAAUGCCUAGGAAUCUGCCUGGUAGUGGGGGAUAACGUCCGGAAACGGGCGCUAA